This 492-nucleotide ribosomal RNA is filed under the name uncultured bacterium. RNAcentral's name for it is "partial 16S ribosomal RNA". It matches the Rfam family "Bacterial small subunit ribosomal RNA", at positions 29 to 507 of the family's 1533-position model. The record is from RNAcentral.
AGUGAACGCUGGCGGUAGGCCUAACACAUGCAAGUCGAACGGCAGCACAGUAAGAGCUUGCUCUUACGGGUGGCGAGUGGCGGACGGGUGAGGAAUACAUCGGAAUCUACUUUUUCGUGGGGGAUAACGUAGGGAAACUUACGCUAAUACCGCAUACGACCUACGGGUGAAAGCAGGGGAUCUUCGGACCUUGCGCGAUUGAUUGAGCCGAUGUCGGAUUAGCUAGUUGGCGGGGUAAGGGCCCACCAAGGCGACGAUCCGUAGCUGGUCUGAGAGGAUGAUCAGCCACACUGGAACUGAGACACGGUCCAGACUCCUACGGGAGGCAGCAGUGGGGAAUAUUGGACAAUGGGCGCAAGCCUGAUCCAGCCAUACCGCGUGGGUGAAGAAGGCCUUCGGGUUGUAAAGCCCUUUUGUUGGGAAAGAAAAGCAGCAGGUUAAUACCCCGCUGUUCUGACGGUACCCAAAGAAUAAGCACCGGCUAACUUCGUG